This 600-nucleotide ribosomal RNA is filed under the name uncultured bacterium. RNAcentral's name for it is "bacterial SSU rRNA". It matches the Rfam family "Bacterial small subunit ribosomal RNA", at positions 734 to 1338 of the family's 1533-position model. The record is from RNAcentral.
ACACUACUGACGCUCAUGCACGAAAGCGUGGGUAUCGAACAGGAUUAGAUACCCUGGUAGUCCGCACGGUAAACGAUGGAUGCCCGCUGUUGGCGAUACACUGUCAGCGGCCAAGCGAAAGCGUUAAGCAUCCCACCUGGGGAGUACGCCGGCAACGGUGAAACUCAAAGGAAUUGACGGGGGCCCGCACAAGCGGAGGAACAUGUGGUUUAAUUCGAUGAUACGCGAGGAACCUUACCCGGGCUUGAACUGCAGGAGAAGGAAACAGAGAUGUUGACGCCCUUCGGGGCUCCUGUGGAGGUGCUGCAUGGUUGUCGUCAGCUCGUGCCGUGAGGUGUCGGCUUAAGUGCCAUAACGAGCGCAACCCUUUUCGCCAGUUGCCAUCAGGUGAUGCUGGGCACUCUGGGGAUACUGCCACCGUAAGGUGUGAGGAAGGUGGGGAUGACGUCAAAUCAGCACGGCCUUUACGUCCGGGGCUACACACGUGUUACAAUGGGGAGUACAGAGAGUCGGCCGCACGCAAGUACGGUCCAAUCAUGAAAGCUCCCCUCAGUUCGGAUUGGGGUCUGCAACCCGACCCCAUGAAGCUGGAUUCGCUAG